ACCUCGCUGGCGCAAUCAGUUAGCAUGCGCUUCUGAAAACGGUGAUACGCGGGUUCGAAUCCCGCCUAAGGUC
Non-coding RNA from Parelaphostrongylus tenuis, 73 nucleotides. NCBI's taxonomy places the organism in Eukaryota, Metazoa, Nematoda, Chromadorea, Rhabditida, Metastrongylidae. The record is from the annotation of a GenBank genome assembly.